UAACACCAAAAAAAGAAAAAAAAAUCUUCUGUCUUAAAUCCCAUAUCUUACAGAGACCUUCAGAAGCUGUUGAAUAGUCGUAAUAUAGUAUUUGUUCGGCCUUAAGGACGGUUGUCUGAAGUCUUUAUCCCGGGCUUAAAGACGAACCAAUAGCAAUUUUUGAUCAUACGCAAGAUAUAGGUCUGGCAUGAUACUAGUUACCCUUUUUUUCAAAGUCCCGUGCAUUGGAGUUAUAUCAUGCUAAUUGAGCUAAAUCCAUUAAGACUCCAGUUUUGUGCUUCAAACUUGGUUUUGUUCGCGCAGCGGAGUUUCAGAUCCCCUUUAAUCCUUAGACCGCCAUUUUGAAUCGAAUGACAUUGUAGGGAGGCCCGAUCUCUCGUUAGUUUUGCGCCAUAGAGAGUCUACAAAAGUCUUGUUUUGGGCUGUAAUAUUGUGCCCUUCGACGAAAUAAAAUUGGACGGAAAUAAUAUUUAUAUAGGUUGAACGGGCUGAGAGGUCAUGGGACUCUUCACAUGGUAUCAGGCACAAAUAUGUUUGAUGGACCAAGGCUUUGAAAUCCACGAUGAAAACCUUUUAGCUGCUCGUCGGGUAAAAAAAACUAUAUAUGAUAACUAAAAUAUUUAUCAAAGAAAAAUUAUGUUUUAUUAUACACCCAUCCUGUUUGAGAAGCGAAACAACACGGUCAAAAGUUUGAAUAUGAUAAUUUUUUUAAACCCUCGGGUGAAAUUUUGUGCAAUUUCUUACAGUGCAUUCAUUCAUUUUAAAAUACAACUAUUUUAUAUUACAAUGUCAGUUGAGAACAUCGUCCAAAGUUUGACAGAAGUAUAUAGAGCAUAAAUGCAGUAUCCGAAUGUUAUAUUUAUGAUGUAAAAUAGUAGUCUAGAAAGCUUUAUUGGGGGAGCAAAACUAUAAACAUGUCUAUUUGUUUUUAAUUUCAUGUAACUGGACCCAUGCUCGAAGCCCAUUAACGCCAUGCUCAGGAAAAUCAUACACAGUGUCAAAGAAAUUGUAGCUUUAUUUCAAAAAAUAAAACCUCUGAUUUAUAUAA
Long non-coding RNA from Magallana angulata, 1048 nucleotides. RefSeq lists it as uncharacterized. The record is from RefSeq and is a predicted model, not a curated record. NCBI's taxonomy places the organism in Eukaryota, Metazoa, Mollusca, Bivalvia, Ostreida, Ostreidae. The transcript is spliced from 2 exons.